CUGCUUUAUGGUGGUCAGCGAGUCGCGGAUCAGUUUGCAGAUCAGGCAGUUGCGGGUCAGGACACCACAAAGCUGAAGGAGACCGAGAAACCGGGACUGUGGCUUUGGUUGUUAAACUUUGCCCUAUGCUGUUGAGGAGCUGAACUAAGCCUCAAAACACACAAAUCGUCGGCCCCCUUAGAAUUCCAGUGCAGGAUUGCGAUACAAAGAAAGAGUAGUUGAAGUGAGGGAUGGAUUUAAAUUGCACGCCACCCCAAUAAAUUCCCCAAUAAAUAUUUAAAAAGCCGCUUUUAAGCUAAAAAAUAAAAUCAAACAAUUGUGCAGA
Xenopus laevis (African clawed frog) is the source of this 325-nucleotide long non-coding RNA. RefSeq lists it as uncharacterized. Lineage: Eukaryota; Metazoa; Chordata; Amphibia; Anura; Pipidae. The record is from RefSeq and is a predicted model, not a curated record. The transcript is spliced from 2 exons.